AGAGUUUGAUCAUGGCUCAGAUUGAACGCUGGCGGCAGGCUUAACACAUGCAAGUCGAACGGUAACAGGAAGAAAGCUUGCUUUCUUUGCUGACGAGUGGCGGACGGGUGAGUAAUGCUUGGGUAUCUGGCUUAUGGAGGGGGAUAACUACGGGAAACUGUAGCUAAUACCGCGUAGUAUCGGAAGAUGAAAGUGUGGGACCGCAAGGCCACAUGCCAUAGGAUGAGCCCAAGUGGGAUUAGGUAGUUGGUGAGGUAAUGGCUCACCAAGCCGACGAUCUCUAGCUGGUCUGAGAGGAUGACCAGCCACACCGGGACUGAGACACGGCCCGG
This 332-nucleotide ribosomal RNA is filed under the name uncultured bacterium. Its description in RNAcentral is "bacterial SSU rRNA". It matches the Rfam family "Bacterial small subunit ribosomal RNA", at positions 8 to 334 of the family's 1533-position model. The record is from RNAcentral.